Molecule: ribosomal RNA, 511 nt
Filed under: Clostridioides difficile
Lineage: Bacteria; Bacillati; Bacillota; Clostridia; Peptostreptococcales; Peptostreptococcaceae
Description: partial 23S ribosomal RNA
Rfam family: Bacterial large subunit ribosomal RNA
Source: RNAcentral
UGGGACUCUAACCAUAGGCCAUGAAUCUGGUCUUGGGACACUGUCAGGUGGGCAGUUUGACUGGGGCGGUCGCCUCCCAAAAGGUAACGGAGGCGCUCAAAGGUUCUCUCAGUACGGUCGGAAAUCGUACGUAGAGUGUAAAGGCAAAAGAGAGCUUGAUUGCAAGACAUACAGGUCGAGCAAGGAUGAAAAUCGGACUUAGUGAUCCGGUGGUUCUGCGUGGAAGGGCCAUCGCUCAACGGAUAAAAGCUACCCUGGGGAUAACAGGCUUAUCUCCCCCAAGAGUCCACAUCGACGGGGAGGUUUGGCACCUCGAUGUCGGCUCAUCACAUCCUGGGGCUGUAGUAGGUCCCAAGGGUUGGGCUGUUCGCCCAUUAAAGUGGUACGCGAGCUGGGUUCAGAACGUCGUGAGACAGUUCGGUCCCUAUCCGUCGCAGGCGUAGGAAAUUUGAGAAGACCUGUCCUUAGUACGAGAGGACCGGGAUGGACGUACCUCUGGUGUACCAGUUGU